RNAcentral lists this long non-coding RNA (2921 nucleotides) under Homo sapiens (human). RNAcentral describes it as "non-protein coding lnc-BAAT-3:3". The record is from RNAcentral. Lineage: Eukaryota; Metazoa; Chordata; Mammalia; Primates; Hominidae.
AGAGAGAGUGAGCUCGGGGUAGAGGCAAGCCAGCCAGAUUGCGUCCAGCGGCAGUCGCUCCGCGGGGUUCCCAGAAGGCAGCGGGGAAACCCCGCCGCAAAGGUGCGCCCUGCGCGGGGACUCCGCGGCGCAUGCAGAGCUGGAAGCCAGUGGUGGGAUCCCCACCCAUCCUUGGAGACCGCUUCUGCCUCGAGUCCUCGGUAACGUGGGGCUGUCCUCUCCCGGUGUGGUUUUAGCGCUGGCGCGGGCGUUCCUGUGGGCCAUUCUCUUGCUUUCUACCCUGCGGGCAACCGAGAUGCGUCUCCCCAGAGGUCCAGGAGGAACCACAGGCUGCAGGUCGCCCCGAACUAAAAUGAGUUUCCUGGUGUGUGCUUCUUUCUUCCCCUCCCAACUUCCACUCCUUUAAGAGCAAGAAAAGGCAACGUCCAGUCGGGUCCCACAACAGCUUUAAUGGGGCGAGGGCGAGAAGGGGGCUAGCGAUAACUCUUCCAAACAACAAAGGAGGAGUGGAAGGAAGGUGAGUCUCUGAGGACCCCAUACUAAGCCUCCUUUGAUGAUAGGGGUAAAUGGAAGAGAUAUUUGCCCUAUUUAAGAAGGCAAAAAAAAAAAAAAAAAAGAACAAUGGGUUCAUUGUCCCCUUGCCUAGAAUGCCAACGCAAUUCUAGGUCUUUGUGAGGCCUCUGGCUAUUUGGUAAAGUGGGAGAACUGUCAACUCGAAGAGAGUCCAGUAAGAGAACCUGAGCCUGCUAUGGCACAGUAACCUGAGGCCAGGGGAGAUGGCAGGUGAGAGUCGUUGCAAGUAGAGUGGAAACUUCUUGGAUCAGAUUGUUCUGUGAGCAAAACAGAAUGGUUAGGAUCCAUUCAAGAGCUUCUAUUUUCAAUCUCUUCCCUGUUUAAUCGUUCUGUCUCCCCACACACCACACCCCAUUUUCUUUCCUACAGAAGAAAAGACAUCCCAAGCAGGAAACUCCCUGUAAAGAGAUUUCUACCUCCUUUUUAUUCAUUUUCUGUCCCUCCAGAAAAGGAUAACCUUUGGUCCCCUCUGCUUUGGAGGAAUAGAGGACAGCCUGCCUUGUGCAAAUCUUUUCCAAGCUUUCAUUAAAGAUCACCUCUAAGCAUUUCCACUUUACAGUGGAAGCGAGCAGAUGCCUUCUUGCUGAACUCUGACCCACAUACCAUUCAUCUUCCCAAUAAUAAUGCCAAGUGACACUCGAACAGCAGGACAAUUAGAUCAAAUCCUAGAGCACACCCAGAGGAGAAAAAAACAGCAUGUCUAAAUACCACCAACAAAAGUUUAGGAGAACAGACUUAGAGGAAGGAGAGAAAAAAAGGAAAGUUCUUAAAAAGAGAAAGUGCCCUGGGUGUAGUGGCAGGUUUAUUUUCUCAGUAGAUCCUUGAAAGAAGUAGAAUUGCAGCAUCUCUUUGCUUAAAGGACAAGUGAGAGUAAGUCUCCAUCCACCAGGUAGGGGAGAUCAGGUUCUCCUGAAGAGCAGCAAAGCCUCUAUAGUGAACCAUGUAGGGUAUUUGGAGCUCCUCCUUCCAUGCCUGUUUAUAUCAGGACUUCCCUUUGGUGCUCGGCUUCUUGGAAGGCAUCCAAGAUAGAUCUGCCUUGUUGUCACGUUCCCCUCAGAACAGUAAACAGUGUUCACUAGAAUUGCAAGGUGUUAGUAUUGGUAGGGCCAAUUGCUUCCUUGAGGCAAGAUAGCCAUUCUCUUUGCCCUGGUGCGUAAGCACAAGGUGAGUGACGGCUUUGAAUUCAUGAACUAAGAGGGGCUGGGGUUUACAGUUCACUCAAUAGGAGACAAUUCUAAGGCACUUCCUCCUACAAUGAUAAGUAUCCAGGGUUGCCUGGCCAAGAAGCCCACUCUAUCUGAGCCUGGCCUUGGGUGAGAGGGAAAGGGAUACCACUCCCCUCAAUGCUUAGGGACCAUCUCUAAGCAGAUGGACCUGUUCGCCAUCUCAAAGCAGAAAGUAGCUCCAACAAGGUGAAGGGUGAAGGAGAAUUUUUAAAUGCAGAAUUGCAAAUAAAGUGAAAUCUCUUUAUGGUGUGUCUGCUAGGAGAUGGUGAAUGAGCAGUUCUGGAAGAGAUUUUUACUGUUUGGGGACAGUAGGGAAAACACAGGGACAUUAAGUGAGAUGAUGUACAUAAAGCACUUAACAUAGUGCCUACUGCCUAACAAGCUCUGCAUAACCUGUAGCUCUUAUUUUGGUUAUUAAUAUUUUCAUUAUUGUGAUAGUUUAUUUUUUUAAAAAGGCUAAGAAGCUCUUUUUUCCUUAGCUUAAACAAGCAAAGCAGAUUAAAGCCAAAAGCCUUCCAGUUUUUCCUUCUGGCUUCCUCCAUCGCCCCCUCACUCAUCACCCUGAUCACUGAUGUAUUCAAAUCCAUGUAAUGAAAAGCAUGCUACAAAGAUGUGUGGCAGUGUGAAUGGGGAAUAGCUCCAACUCUCACCCUUCCACCCACAAAUCUAGACGUAAGUGUGAGAUAGCUUUGUCUUUCAGUAACAUGCCUCAAGCACUUUUUGCCACUCAUGUCUCACAGUGAUUAAGGACUCCUGCCUGGCAGGGUCUCUUGCUAUAACACCCCACCUACAUUGGAAUACCAAGCUUUGUAUUUUCACUUUUUUUUUUUUUUGCCUGCCUUCUAAUUUUAGCUAUCAUAUGUGUUACUCCUCCUAGGUAACAAAAUGCCCAAAGCCAAUUAAUAUGCACACAUCUGCAGAUGGUUUGAGAUAAAUUAAUGGUAAGAAUUUCAGUGGCUGCCAGUAUUUUUAAUGCUCCUUUAUCACAGAUUUCAGACUUAAUACUCAUCUGCUCUACUUAAAGAAUAAUCCCUAAACUUUGUACUUCCUUCUACCAACCAAGCAACAUACCUAAUGGCCUUAUUUCCUAUAUCAGCAAAAUAACCCAGCAUUGUUGCCUGG